This 497-nucleotide ribosomal RNA is filed under the name uncultured bacterium. RNAcentral describes it as "partial 16S ribosomal RNA". It matches the Rfam family "Bacterial small subunit ribosomal RNA", at positions 28 to 507 of the family's 1533-position model. The record is from RNAcentral.
GAUGAACGCUGGCGGCGUGCCUAAUACAUGCAAGUCGAGCGAACAGACGAGGAGCUUGCUCCUCUGACGUUAGCGGCGGACGGGUGAGUAACACGUGGAUAACCUACCUAUAAGACUGGGAUAACUUCGGGAAACCGGAGCUAAUACCGGAUAAUAUAUUGAACCGCAUGGUUCAAUAGUGAAAGACGGUUUUGCUGUCACUUAUAGAUGGAUCCGCGCCGCAUUAGCUAGUUGGUAAGGUAACGGCUUACCAAGGCAACGAUGCGUAGCCGACCUGAGAGGGUAAUCGGCCACACUAGAACUGAGACACGGUCCAGACUCCUACGGGAGGCAGCAGUAGGGAAUCUUCCGAAAUGGGCGAAAGCCUGACGGAGCAACGCCGCGUGAGUGAUGAAGGUCUUCGGAUCGUAAAACUCUGUUAUUAGGGAAGAACAAAUGUGUAAGUAACUAUGCACGUCUUGACGGUACCUAAUCAGAAAGCCACGGCUAACUACGUG